This is a long non-coding RNA of Orcinus orca (killer whale), 446 nucleotides long. RefSeq lists it as uncharacterized. The transcript has 3 exons. The record is from RefSeq and is a predicted model, not a curated record. NCBI's taxonomy places the organism in Eukaryota, Metazoa, Chordata, Mammalia, Artiodactyla, Delphinidae.
GACUCAAAGGAGAGGGAAGAGGUCAAGGACUCCUGGAUUUCAAGCCUAACUAGUAUGGCUCUUGGGUGGUGCCACCCAGAAGAGAGAGGCUGGCAGGGAGGCCCCAAGAGACGCAAUCUCCUCUCUUCCUUUAAAGCCUGGUUUCAAGCACACCUCGUGAACAAAGGCUGUAGUGGCUCACCCCCUCCAAGAGGGUCAAAUACACAUGGAGACAAAGGAGGAACGUAGGUGUCAAAUGCUCUGUGGGGUUGAAUAAGCAUGAAGAAAGUACCACCAUCACUACUGCAGGGCAGUGGUCUACUGAGAAAACGAAUACUUCUGCAUGGAGACACCGUCUUUACCAGAACUCCAGGGCAGGUCAGCAGUAUGAUCUUCCAUAUUUCCUUCUAGAACAAAAAUAAGGAGGCCUAGCACUGGAAAUUUAUUGACCAAUAAAAUCUGCUCAC